CUGUCCUUCAUUCUUUUGGUCUGUCUUACAAAACAGAAAAUAGCUGGGGACAAAAACCGUCUCACCCUCAGUUCUGUAGCUCCAGGCCACAGAUCUCUCCUCUCCGCGUGUCAAAGGAAGGACGUCCUCUAGUGUAUUCUGCAUCCACGCUGGCGCAGUUUGGGCAUCUACAGCGACAUUACAGCUGAAUGGAGUGAGCUGUAUAGAAAGAGACUCUAGGUGAGGAGCUGUCCUCGCUUCACCCUUUUGACACGGGACCUCUCUGUGGCCCUAGGAUCCAGGAGCCUUUCAUGCAGAAGCUGUUACUAUCUACUGAGUAAACAACCCAGCUGUUUUCCAGCCCGUAAGAAUACUCACCUGGAGAAUUUCAAGGAGCCAAAUGACCACCUGCUGUCACUUCCCAUUUGCUGUUAGACUGUCUCUAAUCUCUUAAAGGUGAGGGCUCAACCUGUCCCUUUGUACCUUUUCUUGUUUAAA
RNAcentral lists this long non-coding RNA (477 nucleotides) under Rattus norvegicus (Norway rat). RNAcentral describes it as "long non-coding RNA NONRATT031613". The record is from RNAcentral. Lineage: Eukaryota; Metazoa; Chordata; Mammalia; Rodentia; Muridae.